AUUAGAUACCCGUGUAGUCCUAGCCGUAAACGAUACUCGCUAGGUGUCGGCCACGGUGCGACCGUUGUCGGUGCCGUAGGGAAGCCGUGAAGCGAGCCACCUGGGAAGUACGGCCGCAAGGCUGAAACUUAAAGGAAUUGGCGGGGAGCACCACAACGGGUGGAGCUUGCGGUUUAAUUGGAUUCAACGCCGGAAAUCUUACCGGGACCGACAGCAACAUGAAGGCCAGGCUGAAGACUUUGCCGGAUUAGCUG
This 254-nucleotide ribosomal RNA is filed under the name uncultured archaeon. RNAcentral's name for it is "partial 16S ribosomal RNA". It matches the Rfam family "Archaeal small subunit ribosomal RNA", at positions 728 to 982 of the family's 1478-position model. The record is from RNAcentral.